GCAGGCUACCUGAUUCAAUUAUAAAUCACACCUAACAACGCACACGAGGCUACUACGAGCUUAGCUUAAAACCCAAAGGAUUUGACGGUGUUCCACCCAACUAGAGGAGCCUGUUCUGUAAUCGAUGAUCCACGAUAAACCUAACCAUUUUUUGCUACUCAGCCUGUAUACCGCCAUCUUCAGCAAACAA
Molecule: ribosomal RNA, 190 nt
Filed under: Polypedates maculatus (spotted whipping frog)
Lineage: Eukaryota; Metazoa; Chordata; Amphibia; Anura; Rhacophoridae
Description: partial 12S ribosomal RNA
Source: RNAcentral